AGAAGAUACCAGUGGAAACCAGAACCUGGGGCAUUUGAGUCACUGGAACUAUUCAACUGCUUAUCCCCCUUCUAAGCAGCCAAUAGACAGAAUCUCUGGGCCACAGAGCGCUCCAGUCCUUCAGGAAUGAUUGGAAGACCUUGGCCUACGGAGGCCCUGUAAGACUGGAUGUUCGGUCUGAGCUGCAACUGUGAUUAACUUGUAACCACCAGGAACCCCCAGAGUGGAGAGCUGACAGACUUCUUCAGCCAAUGUCUCGGGAGCAGGAACAAACUCUGGGUUUAUUCACUGUAACAGUUACUCUCACAUGGCAGCCAUCCAUUGCUCCACAGAGGUCACGGAAUAAGUUAGCAGCCCAAGAGAUGAGUGUGGACUGGAGGCCACGCCUCACAAGGAGCGCAGGGAGUCCAGCCCGCCGGCACCAGGAAGAGGGUGCUCACACCGAUGACGGACUCCAGUGGCCCCACGGGGCUCUCUGGCGAAUGCAAGUGCGCAGUGGGGACUCAGCCUUGGCAGUAGCAAGUCCUUGUGGGCAAGAUGACGGCCAGGUCUGCCUUUGCCUCCCAUGUGGCUCUCAGGCUCCCUGUCCCAGACAUGGCUUCCUGCUGCUCCAUUGGCUGGAGUCUGGCCAAUGGAGCAGCGGGAAAAGCCUGCAGGCAGCAAGUCUGUGCACUGCUUUGUUCCUCCAGCUGGGGGAGGGGGAGCGUGUGCUCCAGCUUUUUCCCUGAUCACACAGUGAGGCUUCGGGCUUUCUCCACCCCCGCAGGAAGCCGGCACUGGCUAAAAUCUUGCAAAGUGCACAAAGAUGUA
Pelodiscus sinensis (Chinese soft-shelled turtle) is the source of this 810-nucleotide non-coding RNA. The record is from RefSeq and is a predicted model, not a curated record. NCBI's taxonomy places the organism in Eukaryota, Metazoa, Chordata, Testudines, Trionychidae.